RNAcentral lists this unclassified non-coding RNA (256 nucleotides) under uncultured Parcubacteria group bacterium. Its description in RNAcentral is "contains 16S-23S intergenic spacer region". It matches the Rfam family "Bacterial small subunit ribosomal RNA", at positions 524 to 776 of the family's 1533-position model. The record is from RNAcentral.
UACAGAGACCUCAAGCGUUAUCCGGAAUCACUGGGCGUAAAGCGUACCGAUAGGCGGUUUGGUAAGUCUUUGGUGAAAGCCCCGAGCUUAACUCGGAAAUUGCCAAAGAAACUAUCAGACUAGAGGGGCAAAGAGGGAACUGGAACUCUGGGUGUAGCGGUGAAAUGCGUUGAUAUCCAGAGGAACACUCAAAGCGAAGGCAAGUUCCUGGGUGCCUCCUGACGCUGCUAGGACGAAAGCGUGGGUAGCGAAUGGG